GCCAGACUCCUACGGGAGGCAGCAGUGGGGGAUAUUGCACAAUGGGGGGAACCCUGAUGCAGCGACGCCGCGUGGGUGAAGGAGCGUUUCGGCGCGUAAAGCCCUAUCGGCAGGGAAGAAGGAGGACGGUACCUGACUAAGAAGCCCCGGCUAACUACGUGCCAGCAGCCGCGGUAAUACGUAGGGGGCAAGCGUUAUCCGGAUUUACUGGGUGUAAAGGGAGCGUAGGCGGUUUAGCAAAUCAGAAGUGAAAGCCCGGGGCUCAACCCCGAGACUGCUUUUGAAACUGUUGAACUAGGUUGCAGGAGAGGUAAGUGGAAUUCCUAGUGUAGCGGUGAAAUGCGUAGAUAUUAGGAGGAACAUCAGUGGCGAAGGCGACUUUCUGGACUGUAACUGACGCUGAGGCACGAAAGUGUGGGGAGCAAACAGGGUUAGAUACCCGAGUAC
This 447-nucleotide ribosomal RNA is filed under the name uncultured bacterium. Its description in RNAcentral is "bacterial SSU rRNA". It matches the Rfam family "Bacterial small subunit ribosomal RNA", at positions 330 to 793 of the family's 1533-position model. The record is from RNAcentral.